UUCCGUAAUUCCGUAUCGAAGCGUUAUUUCAUUCAGGCGGCGUACGUGUGCACGUGUUUCGAAGAUAAAAGAGUUUUUAAGAGUAGGCUAUUUGACGAAAUUUUUCUUUCUGAAAACUUCCUUGUUGUGUUGUGUUGUAUUAACAUAGUAACAGUGAUGUCCUAGGGCAGGCGUCAGGAAUAUCAUCACGUGAAACAGAGAGUUCUCGAAAUAUUAGGUCCAAGUGGUACAUCACCAUCAUUAGAAUCGAGUACUUCAACGAUCUUUUGAGAUUGCAUGUAGAUAAAAAAAAUGCAGAGAUAGAAAUGGAUAAGAACACCAUCAAAAUAAAAAGUUGUCCAAAUUUGGCCUCAACGGGGGUAAGGACGUAGCAGAGACAACACGCAAAAUAAUCUAACUCAUAAUAAGCCAUGAAUCAGGAAUUUCCCUGAAUUGGUCGGGUAGGAAUUAAUAAUAAAAAUGGAUUAGAAGCAAUGGCGAAUAUUGUUGAGCUUAAUCAUGGAUCUGUAAGGAUAAAUCCUAUUACAAGAAGUGCCACUGAUGUGGAAAUGAAUCAUGUAAUGAAUUGGCUUCGCAAUACCGGUGACAGAGCAGGAGGCAGAUUGAAAUGAGCGGGGGAAAAAGAAG
This is a long non-coding RNA of Coccinella septempunctata (seven-spotted ladybird), 627 nucleotides long. RefSeq lists it as uncharacterized. The transcript is spliced from 4 exons. The record is from RefSeq and is a predicted model, not a curated record. NCBI's taxonomy places the organism in Eukaryota, Metazoa, Arthropoda, Insecta, Coleoptera, Coccinellidae.